GAGCCCUUAUGGGAGCAGCUUAGUUGAUUCUGUAGGUUUUCUUGUGGUGAUUUUGAUCACUCUGGCUUCUUCAAUACCUCUUCCCCUCUACCAGAGGAUUCCACAAGCUCCACUUAAUGUCUGGCUGUGGAUCUCUGCAUCAGCUCCCAUCAGUUGGUAGGUGAAGCCUCUCUGAUAACAUCUAUGCAAGGCAUCUGUUUGUAAGUAUAGCAGAAUAUCUUCAGUAGUGUCAGAGUGGGCAUAAGUCUCAAGCUGACCCAGUCACUUGUUGGCCUUUCCCUCAAAUUCAACUUCAUCUUUUUACCUCUGCACAUCUGUAGGUGGACAAAUUGUGGGUCUAAGGUUUUAUGGACUGUGUUGUUGUCUCAGUCCCUCCAUUGGAAGUCUUGCUGGGUUUGGUCUCCAUGUCUCCCAUGGCUAAAAGUCUUAGCUAGGGUCUCCUCACAAAGUCUUGGGAGUUUCCAUUGUCUUGUGAUUCUAUCUCAUCACAGAAAUGCCCCCAAUGCAAUUGUAUCUCUCCCUACAUUCUCUCCCAACCUCAUCCCUCCUGUUCCCAUUCCUACCUCCUCCCAACCCAGACCCCUCCUUCCAUCCACCCCUAAUGUCUACUCUAUUUCCCCUUCUCAGUGAGAUUCAAGCAUCCCCCCUUGAGCCCUCAUUGUUAUUUUUCGGCUUUGUGGUUUGUAGCAUAUGGGGGAAAACAGGAUAGCUAAAACAAUCCUGUAUAACAGAAGGACUUUUGAAGGUACCACCAUUCCUGAUUUCAAGCUGUACUACAGAACAAUAGCAGUAAUAACUGCAUGUUAUUGACAUAAAAAGGAGCAGAUGGAUCAAUUGAAUCAAAUCAAAGAACCAGAAGUCUCUAAAUCAAUAAGGAUGUUGUUAGCCAACAAAACAACGUGAUACAGACAACAUCAGUGCCAAAUGACAUGGGCCACUGGACAUAAGUAUUCAUUAGAUAUGUUGGUCAUUUGGCAAAGUGGCUUGAUUCCAAGAUUUAGUCUCCUUGGUAGCCAGCACUUACCUGAAUACUCUCCAACCUUACAACUACACUAAGCCCAGCCUGGGAGCCUGAGUACAGAGAAACGUACAGACGUCUAAUGGUUAUGUUGAGGAUGUGGGCUUUCAGCUUCCUUCUGGGCCACCGUGUCUUCUGCCUGCUGCCACACUUCCUCACCAUGAAGGGGACUCCUAUCCCUCCGGAUAAGUAUCUGUUUUCCUCCUUGUGGGAACCCUGUUUCCAGUGGGUUAACAAAGCCAAGAAAGAAAGAGAGCAAGCUCGGCCACAUGUGUAAUUUUCAAGGUUCUGCUUCUAUCACAUCUGCUUACAGCUCAUGAGCCAAACUCAGAGUCAAGGAGAAGAGUAGAGGAAUACAAGAAUUGAAGACCCAAAGCCAGCCAUCUGUCUAUCAUGUCUAAGAUUCUGUUCAUAAGAAGAACCGACACGUGGCAAGAGCACCAGCCUCAGGAAUGAGACUGAGAAAGGACAUGGGACACUUCUUUGAGACUUAGAAGACAUUAAAAAGCCUCUGGUUGUAGAAAUUCAAGGAAAUAUUAGGGACGACUGGGAAUGACCAACGCUCACUAUUUUUAUUGCUAUUCCCCCAAGGGGAAAUGCCCUGUGAGGUCUACAUGUUUCACAAGUUCAUCUCCAA
Molecule: long non-coding RNA, 1655 nt
Organism: Mus musculus (house mouse)
Lineage: Eukaryota; Metazoa; Chordata; Mammalia; Rodentia; Muridae
Product: predicted gene, 33672
Exons: 4
Source: RefSeq, a predicted model, not a curated record